GCCGAGAUGGCCGAGUUGGUCUAAGGCGCCGCACUCAAGAUGCGGUUUCGAAAGAAGCGCGAGUUCGAAUCUCGCUUUCGGCA
Molecule: transfer RNA, 83 nt
Organism: Neocallimastix californiae
Lineage: Eukaryota; Fungi; Neocallimastigomycota; Neocallimastigomycetes; Neocallimastigales; Neocallimastigaceae
Rfam family: tRNA
About the family: Transfer RNA (tRNA) molecules are approximately 80 nucleotides in length. Their secondary structure includes four short double-helical elements and three loops (D, anti-codon, and T loops).
Source: Rfam